Molecule: ribosomal RNA, 225 nt
Filed under: Salmonella enterica subsp. enterica serovar Derby
Lineage: Bacteria; Pseudomonadati; Pseudomonadota; Gammaproteobacteria; Enterobacterales; Enterobacteriaceae
Also listed under: 3 other names
Description: partial 23S ribosomal RNA
Rfam family: Bacterial large subunit ribosomal RNA
Source: RNAcentral
AAAGAAAGCGUAAUAGCUCACUGGUCGAGUCGGCCUGCGCGGAAGAUGUAACGGGGCUAAACCAUGCACCGAAGCUGCGGCAGCGACGCUGAUGCGUUGUUGGGUAGGGGAGCGUUCUGUAAGCCUGCGAAGGUGGCCUGUGAGGGUUGCUGGAGGUAUCAGAAGUGCGAAUGCUGACAUAAGUAACGAUAAAGCGGGUGAAAAGCCCGCUCGCCGGAAGACCAA